CCUACGGGAGGCUGCAGUGGGGGAUAUUGCACAAUGGAGGGAACUCUGAUGCAGCGAUGCCGCGUGGAGGAAGAAGGUUUUCGGAUUGUAAACUCCUGUCUUCGGGGACGAUAAUGACGGUACCCGAAGAGGAAGCUCCGGCUAACUACGUGCCAGCAGCCGCGGUAAUACGUAGGGAGCAAGCGUUGUCCGGAAUUACUGGGUGUAAAGGGAGCGUAGGCGGGAUAGCAAGUCAGGUGUGAAAACUAUGGGCUCAACCCAUAGAUUGCACUUGAAACUGCUGUUCUUGAGUGAAGUAGAGGUAAGCGGAAUUCCUAGUGUAGCGGUGAAAUGCGUAGAUAUUAGGAGGAACAUCAGUGGCGAAGGCGGCUUACUGGGCUUUUACUGACGCUGAGGCUCGAAAGCGUGGGGAGCAAACAGGAUUAGAUACCCCAGUAGUC
RNAcentral lists this ribosomal RNA (440 nucleotides) under uncultured Ruminococcus sp. RNAcentral's name for it is "bacterial SSU rRNA". It matches the Rfam family "Bacterial small subunit ribosomal RNA", at positions 338 to 795 of the family's 1533-position model. The record is from RNAcentral. Lineage: Bacteria; Bacillati; Bacillota; Clostridia; Eubacteriales; Oscillospiraceae.